Thalassophryne amazonica is the source of this 649-nucleotide long non-coding RNA. RefSeq lists it as uncharacterized. The transcript is spliced from 3 exons. Lineage: Eukaryota; Metazoa; Chordata; Actinopteri; Batrachoidiformes; Batrachoididae. The record is from RefSeq and is a predicted model, not a curated record.
AUCAUUUUAUUUUGUCUUUAGUACUUGUCAAUCAUUAAUAAACAUAUUUGUUAUUUGAAAGUUUUUCAUUAAACUUUUCUGGCGUUUAUGCCUACGAUUUUUGUACAGUCCUGUAUCGUACGCAGUACUUGAUUUUAGUGUAUUUAUGUUGGUGUUCUUUGAGUGUAUUUAGCUUGUGGUGUCCAGUGAACUUAACUGACAGCAAAACAUGAAAGUGAAUAAUUCUUGAUCAAAAUGUAAAGUGAUCUGAUUUAUUUCAUUUGGAGUCAUCCAGGGGAAUUAGGUUGCUUUUCUUAAGAAAUACAAAUAUCUUGGGACAUUGAGACAUUUUUUUAACAUGACAAGAACUGGUUUUGUGUGAAUCAUAACCAGUCACAACGCCAAAGUUACGACAUGCACUGAACAAUAGAACAUUUGUACAGAAACAACAGCAUAGAAAGUCAACAAGUAAAAAUGUUUCUUUUUUUACAAAACAGACAGCCUUAGGACCUACAAACAACACUCUAUCAGAGCUGGCUAAGUUCUUUCAAAUAUCUUUUUUCCCCCUGGAAACUACGUAUUUUACAAAGACUGAUGGCUUAGACCAGGUUGGGGUCGACUCCACAGAGCUGAAUAUCAAAGAAAAAAAAGAAGAAACAUGUUCUACCAG